GCUGGUAAUAUGAUUGUGAGUGUGUGUGGAAUUUAUUCAUGUAUGAUAUGAUGAUUAUAAUGAGUUUGUUAUUGGUUAUGUGCAUGACAUGUGUUUGUCGUAAUUCCAUGGAUCUUAUGGAAAGAUUCUAUGGUGGCAUUUUAGUAGUGUAAGUAUUGAUGUGGGAGUCCAAACGUUUGAGGUUGUCCUGAUAUUCUAAUAACCAUUCAAUCUCAAGUAGAGAAGGGUGAGGUAUGUGGUGAAAGGAGCAAAAGGCCCUAGUUUAAAGGCUUUACCUUGGCCUAAGGCAUUAACAGAC
This 298-nucleotide long non-coding RNA is filed under the name Vigna radiata. RNAcentral describes it as "long non-coding RNA (VRAD_LNC001869)". Lineage: Eukaryota; Viridiplantae; Streptophyta; Magnoliopsida; Fabales; Fabaceae. The record is from RNAcentral.